RNAcentral lists this long non-coding RNA (1019 nucleotides) under Pogona vitticeps (central bearded dragon). RNAcentral describes it as "lncRNA (ENSPVIG00000024461.1)". Lineage: Eukaryota; Metazoa; Chordata; Lepidosauria; Squamata; Agamidae. The record is from RNAcentral.
UUCUUUUUCAAGGUCAACCGCAGUGCUAGCAGCUGGCUUUAUAAAUCAAUUCGCAACCUUUCCUCUCCAUGGAACAAAAUUAGUCCAACGAGCCUACCUGGCUGUCGUACGGCCUUGCGCUGAACUCUUGCUUUGUCUGAGCGAGGCUCCCAUAGGGACUGGGGCUUUGGAGGAGUUUUGAAAAGCAGAAGCUCCGAAAAGUAAAUUUUGAGGGGUUGCAGGUAACCAGAAUCCCCCAUAGGCAGCAUCGCUCAAGGCCAUAGUGACUGGGAGGGGGGGGCAGGAUUCGGGGUGUGGGAAUUGUCCUCAUGUUCCCAGGCUGUGUAGAAAGCCAGACAACAAAUGUAUCUUGAGACCAGUUAAUGGCUGUUACUCACUAUCUCUAAAGGCUGUGGCUAAGGUUUUAAUCGUUCCACACAGGAAACUGAGAUUUCAGAAGACACAUCCUUCCCCCCCCCGCCCCAGCGCCAUGUGUUAUUUUUUUGUAGGUUUUUCCUUUUUUUUCUGCAAGGUGAGGAAGCUACGCCACGACUGCCAGUAUUAUUGGACUUGCGCUCAGUUUUUCUCUGCAGCUUGGCCUGCAGAAAUAAGACGGGCGCAGCUUAGACCCUCUGUGAGUCUGAAAGAAUGGUGGACAAGACUUUCAGGCAAUGAUCCUUCCACGCCGUUCCCAUUGAGUGUUGCUGUUGAUUCAAUCCUUAAGCAUUAAAAAUCAGGAGGUCCUGGAAGUCAGCUGGACAUGACAGUUAAGUGUGUGACUGCAUGCAAACUGCCAUUUAACAUUUAAGCAGAGCGCCCGACUGCAGAUACAACACGCAGAGAGGAAGCAAACUCUUUCUCCUGGCACACACACUCUUUUCUUUUACUCGCUGUGCGUUAAGGGUGUUUUCUCUGUGUGCCUUUUUAUUAUAUUUGGGUAUUUUUAAAUUUGGAUUUGGUUGUUAGCUGCCUUGGCUGCUAUGUGGGGUGGAAAGGCAGGGUAAACAUUCAAUAAACAAAUCGAUUAAAACGCUCUUGCA